This 243-nucleotide ribosomal RNA is filed under the name uncultured bacterium. Its description in RNAcentral is "partial 16S ribosomal RNA". It matches the Rfam family "Bacterial small subunit ribosomal RNA", at positions 524 to 765 of the family's 1533-position model. The record is from RNAcentral.
UACGAAGGGUGCAAGCGUUACUCGGAAUUACUGGGCGUAAAGCGUGCGUAGGUGGUGAGUUAAGUCUGUCGUGAAAGCCCCGGGCUCAACCUGGGAAUGGCGAUGGAUACUGGCUCGCUAGAGUGCGGUAGAGGAGAGUGGAAUUCCCGGUGUAGCAGUGAAAUGCGUAGAGAGUCGGGAGGAACAUCAGUUGCGAAGGCGGCUCUCUGGACCAGCACUGACACUGAGGCACGAAAGCGUGGG